Molecule: ribosomal RNA, 377 nt
Filed under: uncultured bacterium
Lineage: Bacteria
Description: bacterial SSU rRNA
Rfam family: Bacterial small subunit ribosomal RNA
Source: RNAcentral
AGACGUAGGGGGCGAGCGUUGUCCGGAAUUACUGGGCGUAAAGAGCACGUAGGCGGGUGUUUAAGUCAGGUGUGAAAGACCGCAGCCUAACUGCGGGGUUGCACUUGAAACUGAAUAUCUUGAGGGCAGGAGAGGUCAGUGGAAUUCCUGGUGUAGCGGUGAAAUGCGUAGAAAUCAGGAGGAACACCAGUGGCGAAGGCGACUGACUGGACUGACCCUGACGCUGAGGUGCGAAAGCGUGGGUAGCAAACAGGAUUAGAUACCCUGGUAGUCCACGCCGUAAACGAUGGAUACUAGGUGUGGGAGGUAUCGACCCCUUCCGUGCCGGAGCAAACGCAAUAAGUAUCCCGCCUGGGGAGUACGGUCGCAAGGCUGAA